Molecule: unclassified non-coding RNA, 322 nt
Filed under: soil metagenome
Description: partial contains 5.8S ribosomal RNA, internal transcribed spacer 2, and large subunit ribosomal RNA
Rfam family: 5.8S ribosomal RNA (bases 1-120)
Source: RNAcentral
GAUGAAGAACGUAGCGAAAUGCGAUAAGUAAUGCGAAUUGCAGAAUUCAGUGAGUCAUCGAAUCUUUGAACGCACAUUGCGCCCUGUGGUAUUCCGCAGGGCAUGCCUGUUCGAGCGUCAUUUCAACCCUCAAGCUCUGCUUGGUGUUGGGCCACGCCCUCGCGGCCGGCCCCAAAGCCAGUGGCGGCGCCGUCCGGCUCUAAGCGUAGUACAUCUCUCGCUCUAGGGCCCGGCGGCUGCCUGCCAGAACCCCAAACUCUUAUGGUUGACCUCGGAUCAGGUAGGGAUACCCGCUGAACUUAAGCAUAUCAUAAGCGGAGGA